ACACAAACAGACAACAGAAGUGAGAGAUAGAAUGAUGAUAU
Molecule: non-coding RNA, 41 nt
Filed under: Trypanosoma brucei brucei
Lineage: Eukaryota; Euglenozoa; Kinetoplastea; Trypanosomatida; Trypanosomatidae
Source: RNAcentral